CUUGGUGUAAUACAAUAUAAGUAUAAUCCAAACUUAUCUUUUUGUAAAACCUUACAUGAUAAGAUUUUGCCUGCAUUCCAAUUCCAUCUUUUGUUCAUUACCUGCUAGCAUCUUCAGCAUUCUCUCUCGUCCUCGGAGACAAGUAGCCACCCCUCACUUCAGAACCGUCAAGCUUGCUGUUUCCUCAGGCAGAUGAUCACCUCUGGCAAGCUAUACCUACUAGAAGAUGUACAGUAGAAGCAGACCUCUACAUUCCAUGAUUCAACUGUCAAUAGAACAGAAAGCUCCAGUCACAGGAGGGAAAAAAAAUGAAACUGCUACUGUAAUUGAAAGAAAGCCAAAUGUUGUCUAUCAUACAUUCAUGGUGGGGAUUAUAUGUUAAGUCUUAUAACAGAAGGAAACUUGCUUCCAUACUACGCUCCUCCUAUUUUUCUCAGUUGGAGAAGAAAGGAAAUAAUAAGGUGCAAGAAAGAGGGUCACAACAAAGCUGUCAAGUUCUGACAUGACGGAGAAGACAUCCAUAAAGCAUCUGGGAAAGGACAUGCUCACACAUUUACAAAAUGCUCAUUUAUUCUCAAGUACUUGUGCAGAGCUGAUUUCAGAG
This is a long non-coding RNA of Diceros bicornis minor, 604 nucleotides long. RefSeq lists it as uncharacterized. NCBI's taxonomy places the organism in Eukaryota, Metazoa, Chordata, Mammalia, Perissodactyla, Rhinocerotidae. The record is from RefSeq and is a predicted model, not a curated record. The transcript has 2 exons.